RNAcentral lists this ribosomal RNA (345 nucleotides) under Anaplasma phagocytophilum. RNAcentral's name for it is "bacterial SSU rRNA". It matches the Rfam family "Bacterial small subunit ribosomal RNA", at positions 100 to 481 of the family's 1533-position model. The record is from RNAcentral. Lineage: Bacteria; Pseudomonadati; Pseudomonadota; Alphaproteobacteria; Rickettsiales; Anaplasmataceae.
GACGGGUGAGUAAUGCAUAGGAAUCUACCUAGUAGUAUGGGAUAGCCACUAGAAAUGGUGGGUAAUACUGUAUAAUCCCUGCGGGGGAAAGAUUUAUCGCUAUUAGAUGAGCCUAUGUUAGAUUAGCUAGUUGGUAGGGUAAUGGCCUACCAAGGCAGUGAUCUAUAGCUGGUCUGAGAGGAUGAUCAGCCACACUGGAACUGAGAUACGGUCCAGACUCCUACGGGAGGCAGCAGUGGGGAAUAUUGGACAAUGGGCGCAAGCCUGAUCCAGCUAUGCCGCGUGAGUGAGGAAGGCCUUAGGGUUGUAAAACUCUUUCAGUAGGGAAGAUAAUGACGGUACCUA